Molecule: ribosomal RNA, 492 nt
Filed under: uncultured bacterium
Lineage: Bacteria
Description: partial 16S ribosomal RNA
Rfam family: Bacterial small subunit ribosomal RNA
Source: RNAcentral
AGUGAACGCUGGCGGUAGGCCUAACACAUGCGAGUCGAACGGCAGCACAGUAAGAGCUUGCUCUUACGGUGGCCGGGUGCCGGAGGGGGAGGGAAUCAAUCGGAAUCUACUUUUUCGUGGGGGUUAAGGUAGGAAAACUUACGCUAAUACCGCAUCCGACCACCGGUUGAAACAAGGGGUUCUUCGGACUUUCCGGGAUGGAAGAAGCGGAUGUCGGAUUAGCUAGUUGGCGGGGUAAAGGCCCACCAAGGCGACGAUCCGUAGCUGGUCUGAGAGGAUGAUCAGCCACACUGGAACUGAGACACGGUCCAGACUCCUACGGGAGGCAGCAGUGGGGAAUAUUGGACAAUGGGCGCAAGCCUGAUCCAGCCAUACCGCGUGGGUGAAGAAGGCCUUCGGGUUGUAAAGCCCUUUUGUUGGGAAAGAAAAGCAGCAGGUUAAUACCCCGCUGUUCUGACGGUACCCAAAGAAUAAGCACCGGCUAACUUCGUG